UAGGACCAGAUCGCCCCACACGAGCCGCAUGGAGAAUCGCAACUGCCGACGCAAGGAGUUUCCCCUCCGUCACUUCUACCAAUGGUCUCCCAGAGGUGACCAAGGAAAUCCUUGCCAACAUCGCCGCCUCCAGUCGUCCUUGGUGUUCUUCGGUUCGCCAUCGCGUGGAACUUCCGCCAACGCCGUAGAAGCCGCGCCUGAGGACGGAGCCGCCACCGCAACCGAGUUUGAUCCCCGGCCUCCUGGAUCCCGGUGAGACAUCUUGGUGAUCCCCGCGGCCACCCCCGCGGUGCCUCCUGCCCAGUAUGACCCUCAGCGUCGUCCACCCACGACUGCCGGAAACGAGGAAAAGAAAGUAGAGGAUAUAUCUUCAUUAUACAUGAAUGAGCCCGGAGGCGAUCAGGUUCGAAUUAAUAUUAUGGUUCAUGCUAGCUUUUUGGUGCCUUCCGAUUUUUAGUCAGUUUUUGUGCUAUGCAUGGUCAUAACUGCAUCAAGGGUUGUAUUUUACUAUUUUUGUAGUUGAAUAAAUUGUAUGCUUUCCAAGCCAGAAGAUAUGAUUAUAUAUAGGAUACGUCUUCAAUUGUGUGCAUACACUAUUACGUCCUGUGUUACAAGGGCAGUGGUUGUUUCUGUGGAGGAGACGAGCGAUUCAGCCAGCCCAACAGUUCAGCUGGCAGGAGCGUGAUCGAUUCAGAAGCACCAGUAGCCCAAACAUUUCAGCUGGAAGGUUUGAUCGUGAUUUUUCUGAUUUCAAUUAGAUUUUAGCUUAUUUCCAUGGUCCCUUUUCGUGCUUUUAACUGGGAGCAGGGCCAAGCUACGAGCAGCAUCAGGUGACGAGUUCUGGAGAGGCCCCAUCGAUUAUCUACGGGAGUAUGGGAUCAGGAACUGGUACACUUGGUGAACUUUACAGAAGAAGGUUGAGUUCGAUCUUAUUUCGGAUAGACAAGUUGACUCAUUUAACCAGCAAUGACCAAUUGAUCUUCAAGCCAUUAUAGAGUAAUGAAUCUGAUUAAAGAGGAACCAGAGGACAUAAACAUUUCAAGUGAGAUGGAAGGGUACGUGUUGUACACAGGGGAUGAACUAGGCUUCGCCAAAAGGAAACAUGCUGUGGCAUACAGCUUAGCCAAACAAGGAAACUAGAUCGCAGGUGGCGAAGCCCUUCCCCCUGGAGGAGCUCCUUGCAACGUCACAUCAGUCCUUCCUGACUGCGCAUUUGGUGCGUGGGCGGCGUGUAGAAGUCUGAGCUGCGCAUUUGGAAGUAGAUGACAGAGUCAAAUGGUCGGGAUCAGAUAAUUAUCUCAAACGAACAUUGAUUUGUUCAAUUUUUUAUUAUUA
Molecule: long non-coding RNA, 1335 nt
Organism: Lolium rigidum
Lineage: Eukaryota; Viridiplantae; Streptophyta; Magnoliopsida; Poales; Poaceae
Exons: 6
Source: RefSeq, a predicted model, not a curated record